RNAcentral lists this unclassified non-coding RNA (327 nucleotides) under plant metagenome. RNAcentral's name for it is "partial contains 5.8S ribosomal RNA, internal transcribed spacer 2, and large subunit ribosomal RNA". The stretch from base 1 to 105 matches the Rfam family "5.8S ribosomal RNA", at positions 50 to 154 of the family's 154-position model. The record is from RNAcentral.
GAAAUGCGAUAAGUAAUGUGAAUUGCAGAAUUCAGUGAAUCAUCGAAUCUUUGAACGUACAUUGCGCCCGUUAGCAUUCUAGCGGGCAUGCCUGUCCGAGCGUCAUUUCAACCCUCAGGGCCCCCCGUUCCGGCGGGCGGACCUGGCGUUGGGGAUCGGCCCGCCCCGUGCGGCGCCGUCCCCCAAAUACAGUGGCGGUCCCGCCGCAGCCUCCCCUGCGUAGUAGUUUACAACCUCGCAUCGGAGCGCGGCGCGGCCACGCCGUAAAACCCCCGACUUUCUGAACGUUGACCUCGGAUCAGGUAGGAAUACCCGCUGAACUUAAGC